This 528-nucleotide long non-coding RNA is filed under the name Medicago truncatula (barrel medic). RNAcentral's name for it is "lncRNA gene5773". Lineage: Eukaryota; Viridiplantae; Streptophyta; Magnoliopsida; Fabales; Fabaceae. The record is from RNAcentral.
UGUUUCUGCAAUGUACUCUGGUUUACUGGAUGAGAGCGCAGUGAUUGGUUGCUUCUUGGUGCACCAGGAGAUUGCAGCAUCAUUGAAUUUGAACACAUAACCUGAAGUGCUUCUCCUAUCAAUUAGAUCUCCACACCAAUCACUGUCUGAAUAUCCUAUGAGCUCAUUCACUUCACUCUUAGCUCCAUAAGGAAAUAACAGGCCAUACUCCAUAGUCCCUCUUACAUAUCUAAGGAUCCUCUUAGCAGCUAUCAGAUGAGGUUUCCUAGGAUCAUGCAUGAAUUUGCUAAUCACACUUACUGAGUAGCAAAUAUCGGGUCUACUAUUACAUAGGAACAAAUAUUCUAAAGAUUGAGUCUUGGAGCAAAAGAAAGGAGAAUUGGAGUUGAAUCGUGCCAAAAAUAUAAAAGAUCUUAUACAAAAAUAUCUGGUGCAAGGAUUGAGGACAAAAAUAUGAAUAUCUCAUACAAAAAUAUCAUGUGCAAAGAAUUUGAAGAUCUUGUACAAUAAUAUAAAAGUGGCGCGCCC